Molecule: transfer RNA, 75 nt
Filed under: Blastocatellia bacterium
Lineage: Bacteria; Pseudomonadati; Acidobacteriota; Blastocatellia
Description: tRNA-Gln
Rfam family: tRNA
About the family: Transfer RNA (tRNA) molecules are approximately 80 nucleotides in length. Their secondary structure includes four short double-helical elements and three loops (D, anti-codon, and T loops). Further hydrogen bonds mediate the characteristic L-shaped molecular structure. tRNAs have two regions of fundamental functional importance: the anti-codon, which is responsible for specific mRNA codon recognition, and the 3' end, to which the tRNAs corresponding amino acid is attached (by aminoacyl-tRNA synthetases). tRNAs cope with the degeneracy of the genetic code in two manners: having more than one tRNA (with a specific anti-codon) for a particular amino acid; and 'wobble' base-pairing, i.e. permitting non-standard base-pairing at the 3rd anti-codon position.
Source: RNAcentral
UUCGGGGUCGUCUAAUCGGAAGGACGGCUGCCUUUGAAUCAGCAAAUAUAGGUUCGACUCCUUUCCCCGAAGCCA